GAUGAAGAACGCAGCGAAAUGCGAUACUUGGUGUGAAUUGCAGAAUCCCGUGAACCAUCGAGUCUUUGAACGCAAGUUGCGCCCGAAGCCGUCAGGCCGAGGGCACGCCUGCCUGGGCGUCACACGCCGUUGCCCCCCCGCGCCCCGCACCCAACUCUUUGGGAGCGACCGCGGGGCGGGCUGAUGAUGGCCUCCCGUGCGCUCCGCCGCGCGGUUGGCCCAAAUACCGAGUCCCCGGCGACGUGCGCCACGACGAUCGGUGGUUGAGAGACCUCUGUCGCAAGUCGUGCGCGCCCGUCGCGUCACGCGGGCUCGCAUAGCGCCUCGCGCCGCACCCGGUGCGGAGCUUUCAACGCGACCCCAGGUCAGGCGGGGUUACCCGCUGAAUUUAAGCAUAUCAAUAAGCGGAGG
RNAcentral lists this unclassified non-coding RNA (411 nucleotides) under soil metagenome. RNAcentral's name for it is "partial contains 5.8S ribosomal RNA, internal transcribed spacer 2, and large subunit ribosomal RNA". The stretch from base 1 to 122 matches the Rfam family "5.8S ribosomal RNA", at positions 35 to 154 of the family's 154-position model. The record is from RNAcentral.